CGGACGGGUGAGUAAUGCUUGGGAAUCUGGCUUAUGGAGGGGGAUAACUACGGGAAACUGUAGCUAAUACCGCGUAAUAUCUUCGGAUUAAAGGGUGGGACUUUCGGGCCACCUGCCAUAAGAUGAGCCCAAGUGGGAUUAGGUAGUUGGUGGGGUAAAGGCCUACCAAGCCGACGAUCUCUAGCUGGUCUGAGAGGAUGACCAGCCACACUGGAACUGAGACACGGUCCAGACUCCUACGGGAGGCAGCAGUGGGGAAUAUUGCACAAUGGGGGGAACCCUGAUGCAGCCAUGCCGCGUGAAUGAAGAAGGCCUUCGGGUUGUAAAGUUCUUUCGGUGAUGAGGAAGGUGUUUGUUUUAAUAGAGCAAGCAAUUGACGUUAGUCACAGAAGAAGCACCGGCUAACUCCGUGCCAGCAGCCGCGGUAAUACGGAGGGUGCGAGCGUUAAUCGGAAUGACUGGGCGUAAAGGGCACGCAGGCGGUGACUUAAGUGAGAUGUGAAAGCCCCGAGCUUAACUUGGGGAUUGCAUUUCAUACUGGGUCGCUAGAGUACUUUAGGGAGGGGUAGAAUUCCACGUGUAGCGGUGAAAUGCGUAGAGAUGUGGAGGAAUACCG
This 616-nucleotide ribosomal RNA is filed under the name uncultured Actinobacillus sp. RNAcentral's name for it is "bacterial SSU rRNA". It matches the Rfam family "Bacterial small subunit ribosomal RNA", at positions 99 to 711 of the family's 1533-position model. The record is from RNAcentral. Lineage: Bacteria; Pseudomonadati; Pseudomonadota; Gammaproteobacteria; Pasteurellales; Pasteurellaceae.